Molecule: transfer RNA, 74 nt
Filed under: Blastobotrys adeninivorans
Lineage: Eukaryota; Fungi; Ascomycota; Dipodascomycetes; Dipodascales; Trichomonascaceae
Description: tRNA-Leu
Rfam family: tRNA
About the family: Transfer RNA (tRNA) molecules are approximately 80 nucleotides in length. Their secondary structure includes four short double-helical elements and three loops (D, anti-codon, and T loops).
Source: RNAcentral
UUGAUUGUGGCGAAAUUGGUAGACGCAGUAAGUUUAGGUCUUAUAAGUUAUGGGUUCAAUUCCCAUCAAUCAUA